This 352-nucleotide unclassified non-coding RNA is filed under the name soil metagenome. RNAcentral's name for it is "partial contains 5.8S ribosomal RNA, internal transcribed spacer 2, and large subunit ribosomal RNA". The stretch from base 1 to 120 matches the Rfam family "5.8S ribosomal RNA", at positions 35 to 154 of the family's 154-position model. The record is from RNAcentral.
GAUGAAGAACGCAGCGAAAUACGAUAAGUAAUGUGAAUUGCAGAAUUCAGUGAAUCAUCGAAUCUUUGAACGCACAUUGCGCCCGCCAGUAUUCUGGCGGGCAUGCCUGUUCGAGCGUCAUUACAACCCUCAGGCCCCCGGGCCUGGCGUUGGGGAUCGGCGGAGCCCCCCGUGGGCACACGCCGUCCCCCAAAUGCAGUGGCGGUCCCGCCGCAGCUUCCAUCGCGUAGUAGCUAACACCUCGCGACUGGAGAGCGGCGCGGCCACGCCGUAAAACACCCAACUCUUCUGAAGUUGACCUCGAAUCAGGUAGGAAUACCCGCUGAACUUAAGCAUAUCAAUAAGCGGAGGA